Molecule: long non-coding RNA, 2676 nt
Filed under: Homo sapiens (human)
Lineage: Eukaryota; Metazoa; Chordata; Mammalia; Primates; Hominidae
Description: HSALNT0407146
Source: RNAcentral
GGGAUUCGCUAGCGGCGCCCUCUAGUGGCGUUUCGCGGAGCCUUGGCGGAAACCCUACUGGGAGCCGGUGUGUCCCCCAGUAACAUUUGCAAAUGAAAGAAGGGAUGGGAUCUUGCUAAGUUGCCUAGGCUAGCCUCGAACUCCUGGCUUCAAGCACUCCUCCUGCCUCAGCCUCCCAAAGUGCUGGGAUGACAGGUGUGAGCUGCCAUGCCUGGCCGUUACAACUGUCUUGUGAAGCACUCAUGAAAGGUGGCCGGGUACCACUGUAUCAAUGGCCCAGUUGCCCAUCUCCUGGCGAGAGAUUUCCCUAAGUGACCUGGAAGUGUCACUAUUACCACCGCCCCACAUGAAUCUUGUGCUGGAGGCGACUAGAGCUGUGUGUCCCUCAGCAGAAGCAGGUGGCAUAAGCAAGAGUUCCAUUUUGGUUUCAUUUUCAGAGGACCCCAAUUGCGCAGUCUGCAAGAAAUAAUGUGCCUCUCAGGAUGGUUCCAAGCUGAGCCCAAAUCACUGAGGGAGAUUCACUGCUUGCUAACAUGAACUUUAUUCCUGGAUAAACAAGUCCCAAACCGUCUUGUCCAUAUGCCACCACGGUCAGGUCAAAACACACAUUAUCAGCUGGGUGCGGUGGCUCACGCUUGUAAUCCCAGCACUUCGGGAGGCCGAGGUGGGCGGAUCACUUGAGGUCAGGAGUUGGAGAUCAGCCUGGCCAACAUGGUGAAACCCCGUCUCUACUAAAAAUACAAAAAUUAGCCGGGCGUGGUGGUACGUGUCUGUAGUCCCAGGUACUCAGAAGGCUGAAGACAUGAGAAUCGCUUGAACCCAGGGGGCGGAGGUUGCUGAGCUGAGAUCAUGCCACUGCACUCGAGCCUGGACAACAGAGUGAGAUCCUAUGCCAAAAACAAACAAUAAAAACCAACAACAAAAAAGUGCUUUAACAAGUGCGACUCUGUGAGAGACACUCUGCUAGAUGCUGGGGCCAUAAGAGUGAAAAUAAUAGUCUCUGCCCCAGAGGGGCUCAGGUCUGGCUCCUUGAUACAUUUCACAGAUGAGGAAACUGAGGCACUGAACUUUCUGGUUUCUUUCUCUGGGCUGGUUAUGCUGUACUCCCUUCACUGAGUAUUUUCCUCCCUUCAUGAAUUUUCAAGAGUUUCACUCUUGUUGCCCAGGCUGGAGUGCAAUGGCGUGAUCUCGGCUCACUGCAACCUCCAACUCCCAGGUUCAAGCGAUUCUCCUGCCUCAGCCUCCCGAGUAGCUGGGAUUACAGGUGCCCGCCACAAUGCCUGGCUAACUUUUUGUAUUUUUUGUACAGACAGGGUUUCACCAUGUUGGCAGGUUUGUCUCCAACUCCCGACCUCAGGUGAUCCACCUACCUUGGCCUCCCAAAGUGCUGGGAUUACAGGCGUGAGCCACCGCGCCCAGCUGCACAAAAGUUUUUAAGUUUGAUGUAGACCCACUUGUCUAUUUUUUGCUUUUGUUUCCUGCCAAGAGAGAAUCUUACAUCAUGUGACAUAAUCAUGGGAGUAACAUCCUAUCACUUAUACCAUAUCGGUCAGAAUCAAGUCACAGGUCCUGUCACCACUCGAGGGGAAGGUAUCACACAAAGGCAUGAACACCAGGAGGCAGGAUCAUGAAGGCCACCAUGGAGUCUGUCAGCCACACAUUUAUUUAUUUAUUUAUUUAUUUAUUUAUUUAUUUAUUUAUUUUUUCCUGGCUCCCAGAACUGAUGCCAAACAUUUAAAGGGCAGUAAAAGCCUACUUUUAAUUCAACCUUUAACCAAUACUUCUUUUCUUUUUGAGACAGGGCUCUCGCUCUGUCGCCCAGGCUGGAGUUCAGUGACGCGGAUCUCAGCUCACUGCAACCUCUGCCUCCCGGGUUCAAGCAAGUCUCCUGCCUCAGCCUCCUGAGUACCUGGGCUGAGACUACAGGCAUGCGCUACCACACCUGGAUAAUUUUUGUAUUUUUUGGUAGAGACAGGAUUUCUUUUUUUUUUUUUUUUUUGAGAUGGAGUUUCGCUCUUGUUGCCCAGGCUGGAGUGCAGUGGCGUGAUCUUGGCUCACUGCAACCUCCACCUCCCAGGUUCCAGCGAUUCUCCUGCCUCAGCUGCCUGAGUAGCUGGGAUUACAGGCACCUGCCACCACGCCCGGCUAAUUUUUUGUAUUUUUAGUAGAGGUGGGGUUUCACCAUGUUGGCCAGGCUGGUCGCACACUCCUGACCUCAGGUGAUAUACCUGCUUUGGCCUCCCAGAGUGCUGGGAUUACAGGCGUGAGCCACCGUACCCGGCUGAGACAGGAUUUCUCUGUGUUGGCCAGGAUGUUCUCAAACUCCUGGCCUCACGUGAUCCGCCCAUCUUGGCCCCCAAAAAUGCUGGGAUUACAGGCCUGAGCCACCACGUCUGGCACAGCCAAAACUUAUUAAGGUCUGUUUCCUACCAAGCAUUGUGCUUGGGGAGUGCCAAAAUAAAUAUGGCAUAGUACCUGCCCUCUGGGGACUCACAGUUCAAUAUUACAAGCCCUUAAGGUACUGGUUCUGGUAGGAAAGGAUCCAGCCUUCUGGAGAAAAAGGACAGGUACAAUUAGAACUGAGGGCAGAUACAUGAUUUGUAACCCAUUCUGUGUGACCUACCUCCUCCGGGCAGCCCUUCCUCUCUCCCCUCCUGAGACUGUGUCUAAAAGGAA